RNAcentral lists this unclassified non-coding RNA (347 nucleotides) under soil metagenome. RNAcentral's name for it is "partial contains 5.8S ribosomal RNA, internal transcribed spacer 2, and large subunit ribosomal RNA". The stretch from base 1 to 120 matches the Rfam family "5.8S ribosomal RNA", at positions 35 to 154 of the family's 154-position model. The record is from RNAcentral.
GAUGAAGAACGUAGUGAAAUGCGAUAUUUAAUGUGAAUUGCAGAAUUCAGUGAAUCAUCGAGUCUUUGAACGCACAUUGCGCCCCCUGGUAUUCCGGGGGGCAUGCCUGUCCGAGCGUCAUUGCUGCCCUCAAGCACGGCUUGUGUGUUGGGCUUCCGUCCCUGGCAACGGGGACGGGCCCAAAAGGCAGUGGCGGCACCAUGUCUGGUCCUCGAGCGUAUGGGGCUUUGUCACCCGCUCCCGUAGGUCCAGCUGGCAGCUAGCCUCGCAACCAAUCUUUUUAACCAGGUUGACCUCGGAUCAGGUAGGGAUACCCGCUGAACUUAAGCAUAUCAAUAAGCGGAGGA